AACUUUUGACAACGGAUCACUUGGCUCUCGCAUCGAUGAAGAACGCAGCGAAAUGCGAUAAGUAAUGUGAAUUGCAGAAUUCAGUUAAUCAUCGAAUCUUUGAACGCACCUUGCGCCCUUUGGCUAUUCUGAAGGGCAUGCCUGUUUGAGUAUCAUGAACACCUCAACUCUCAUGGUCCGCCAUGAUGGGCGUGGACUCUGCGGGUCCUGCCGGCCCCGUGUCGUCUCCUCUCAAAUGGAUCGCCUUGCGAGUGUUUGGUGGCGUCACAGGUGCCAUGACUGUGUCCUGUUCCCGUUUUCUGCCAUAAAACCUUCAGUGAUGGAGGUUCUGUGGGGUUCACAGAUGUCUCUCCUUGGGGAGGAGAGUUUUUGAACGUUUGAUCUCAAAUCAGGUAGAACUACCGGAUGACCUUAAGCAUAUAAAUACGCGGAGGCU
RNAcentral lists this unclassified non-coding RNA (436 nucleotides) under uncultured Tomentella. RNAcentral's name for it is "sequence contains ITS2". The stretch from base 1 to 155 matches the Rfam family "5.8S ribosomal RNA". Lineage: Eukaryota; Fungi; Basidiomycota; Agaricomycetes; Thelephorales; Thelephoraceae. The record is from RNAcentral.